UGAAACUCGCCUACAUGAAGCUGGAGUUACUAGUAAUCGCGGAUCAGCAUGCCGCGGUGAAUACGUUCCCGGGCCUUGUACACACCGCCCGUCACACCAUGAGAGCCGGUAACACCCGAAGUCAGUAGCCUAACCGCAAGGGGGGCGCUGCCGAAGGUGGGAUUGGUAAUUGGGGUGAAGUCGUAACAAGGUACC
RNAcentral lists this ribosomal RNA (195 nucleotides) under uncultured bacterium. RNAcentral's name for it is "partial 16S ribosomal RNA". It matches the Rfam family "Bacterial small subunit ribosomal RNA", at positions 1306 to 1500 of the family's 1533-position model. The record is from RNAcentral.